RNAcentral lists this long non-coding RNA (2852 nucleotides) under Sus scrofa (pig). Its description in RNAcentral is "lncRNA (ENSSSCG00060009358.1)". The record is from RNAcentral. Lineage: Eukaryota; Metazoa; Chordata; Mammalia; Artiodactyla; Suidae.
GGUCAGACCUAACUGAGUUCAGCAGUUAGGACCUCUGUGCAUUUUAUUGGUUGAUAAUUAUACCCCAAAUUUAAAAAGCAUCAUAGACACAAAAAGCUAAAGACCAGGGAAAAGAGAUAACGUAAUUAGUACAAAGAAUAUAUGCUUGCAUAGAAUAUCCAGGAGAAAUUACAAAUAAAUAUUAGUGCUAAUAAGAAAGCUCACAAUUUGCUAGAAACCAAUACACAAAAAUCAAUAGUUAUUGUUAAAGGACAUUAUUAACCGUGACAAUAAAAGCUUUUAAGGUGCCAAGAAAUAAAUUUAACAAAUGGUGUGUCAGAUUUUUAUGGAGAAAGCAACAAAAGCUGAUGGAAGCGGGGAAGAAAUACAGGAUUUACUAUAUUCAUGGACGGCAGAGUUCAAUAUUUUAAAGACUGCAAUUUUCCCCAAAUUUACCUAUAAAUUCAAUACAAUUUCAAUAAAAAAUUCCUGUACAGUUUUUCAGAGGACUUGACAAAACUAUGCUAAAGAAAAAGGAAGGGGAUUAGACAGGGAUGGUAGUAAUUUGAACAAUGUGAUGUUGCCACAGGGAGCAGGGACCCGAAAUAGAAGCACUUAGAAAAGGAAAUCUGAAAUACGCAGAGACGGCCUGUCAGAUCGCUGGGCAAAGGAUCAGUGUAAUCAAUGAAUGAGGCUGCGUCCUGGCUGUAACGAAAAAGAUACUCUCCAGGAAACCAGGGAUGAAAGAGGGUAAGACUGGGUAUCGACGUCCUGUCAUACCCCAAAUCAUCUAAAUGAAAGCAAAACUUGAAAACGAAGGAGUUCCCGUUAUGGCUCAGGGGCUGAAGAGCCUGACACAGUGUCCCUGAGAAGGCAAGCUUGAUCCCUGGCCUUGCUCAGUAGGUUAGGAUCUGGCACUGCCACAAGCUGCAGCGUAGGUUGCAGAUGCAGCUCAGAUCCGGUGCUGCCAUGGCUGUGGUGUAGGCCUGUGGCUGCAGCUCCAAUUCAACCUUCAAACCCGGGAACUUCCAUAUGCCACAGAUGUGACCCUAAAAAGAAAAAAAAAAAAAGACAAAAUAAACCGUGCGAGGCCAUCUUGCUGACAUCUGAGCACUGUCAUUCCUCCUUAAGGGGCCAAAAGCAUAAAUCAUAUUGAGAAUAAAACUAUAUCAAACUAAGGACUUCUGCGUAUCAAGGCAACGAUGAAAAGAGAGAGUGCCCGUCAUGGCUCAGUGGGAACGAACCCAACUACGAACCAUGAGGUUUCGGGUUUGAUCCCUGGCCUCGCUCAGUGGGUUCAGGAUCCGGCAUUGCUGUCAGCUGUGGUGUAGGUCACAGACAAGGCUUGGAUCCCGAGUUGCUGUGGCUGCAGUGGCUACAGCUCUGAUUAGACCCCUAGCCUAGGAAUCUCCAUAUGUCGCAGGUGGCCUUAGAAAAGACGAAAAGACAAAAAAAGACAACAAUGAAAAGAAAGUCAAACAAGAAAAAAGGAAAAAAAAAAAGUCAGUAGCCACUCUAAGGUGUUUACAGCCCAAACAACUAGUUUUAUAGAAGAGGAAUAUAACAGAAUUCCCUAAAAAUCAGGCAAGCAAGAGUUCCCGUCAUGGCGCAUGGUUAACAAACCCGACUAGGAACCAUGAGGUUGCAGGUUCGGUCCCUGGCCUUGCUCAGUGGGUUAAGGAACCGGCAUUGCUGUGAGCUGUGGUGUAGGUCGCAGACGCGGCUCGGAUCCCGCGUUGCUGUGGCUCUGGCAUAGGCUGGUGGCUACAGCUCCGAUUUGACCCCUAUCCUGGGAACCUCCAUAUGCUGAGGGAGCGGCUCAAGAAAAGGCAAACAAACAAACAAACAAAAAAAUCAGGCAAACAAACAAUACAAGCAAAAAGGAAGUACAAACAAAUGGAAAAAUGCUUCAACCUCUCUGGUAAUCAAAGAAAAAUUCACACUAGAACAAUCAAAUACCAUGCCAUACCUAUCAACUGACAAAAAUCAACAACCAACCAAUAAAUCCAAUAAUAAGAAUGGGUGGGGCUACUGGAACUGGAAAGUCUUAUAUAGUGUUGCUAUGGCUGCAAACUGGUACUAACACUUUGAAGAGCUAUUUUGAAACAACUGAAAAAAAAAUUGAUGAUGUGCAAAAUCUACCAAGCAGAAAUGAGAUUUUUCUUUUCUUUCUUUCUUUUUUGUCUUUUGUCUUUUUAAGGCCGAACCCGCGGCAUGUAGAGGUCCCCAGGCUAGGGGUCUAAUUGGAGCUGCAGCCCUCGGCCUACCCCACAGCCACAGUAACACCAGCCCCAAGCCACAUCUGUGACCUACACCACAGCUCACGGCAACGCCAGACCCUUAACCCACUGAUCGAGGCCAGGGAUCGAACCACAACCUCAUGGAUGCUAGUCAGGUUCGUUUACCUCUGAGCCACGACAGGAACUCCAGAAAUGAGACCUUUCGAUGUUGGCCAUAGAGCAGCACACACGUGAGGUGAUGCACGCGAGACGUUUACUGCGACACGAUUCAUAACAGGGAAAAACAACAAAUGUUCUGAAACCAUACACUUUUUAAAAUAUGCAAAUAAGUCUACUGCGUCUUUAUUAUGGAUGCGCAUGUACUUAGAGGAAGUAUGUACCACCACCACUGCUACCUAUCAGGCAGCGACAGUGUAUGGGACCCCUGGGUUGCCUGGGUAGGAAGCCUGGCUUCUCUGGGGACCAGACGUGUGGCCUUGGGCAAGGUACCUCACCAGUCUUUCCUCAGCCCUCAUCUCUAACACGGGGAUAAAAAUAGCAUUUCUGUCACAUGCCUCCUUGGGCGUUAAAGGAGCUAAUGCAUGUAAAGUGCUUAGAUAAUGGCCAGCAUACAGUUUCUCCUGCCAUCAUUAU